GUGUUCAACAUUCCCUUGUUUACACAGAAAGGCCUUUCUAAAAAGUAUCUACAACACAAGUCUCAUCACUUAACCACUACAUUUAAAGAGAAGAAAACCCAUAAAAAGCACUAAAAAGUCGUUUACACAAGAAAAAGCCAUACAAACUCCCCCUGCACUGACUGGUCACUUCAGCUGUAAAGAUCAUCAUCAUCUCCAGCAGCCAUGGUGGAAGCAAAUGGGUCGGCAGC
This 230-nucleotide unclassified non-coding RNA is filed under the name Hevea brasiliensis (rubber tree). The record is from RNAcentral. Lineage: Eukaryota; Viridiplantae; Streptophyta; Magnoliopsida; Malpighiales; Euphorbiaceae.